Molecule: transfer RNA, 90 nt
Filed under: Actinocatenispora comari
Lineage: Bacteria; Bacillati; Actinomycetota; Actinomycetes; Micromonosporales; Micromonosporaceae
Description: tRNA-Val
Source: RNAcentral
UCGUCGUUGGCGAGUACCAGCGGGUCGGCGCCGUUGACCUCGGCGAGCAGCUGAAACAGGUUGAACGUGUACGAGUCGUGGUUGUCGACC